GGGUUGCUAACUCAAUGGUAGAGUACUCGGCUUUCAACCGACGAGCUCCGGGUUCGAGCCCCGGGCAACCCA
RNAcentral lists this transfer RNA (72 nucleotides) under Anthoceros punctatus. RNAcentral's name for it is "tRNA-Lys". It matches the Rfam family "tRNA". Rfam says of the family: Transfer RNA (tRNA) molecules are approximately 80 nucleotides in length. Lineage: Eukaryota; Viridiplantae; Streptophyta; Anthocerotopsida; Anthocerotales; Anthocerotaceae. RNAcentral also lists the same sequence under 2 other names. The record is from RNAcentral.